GGUUUAGCCCAGUUACCAUGGAGACCGGUAGUAACACCAGUUGUAAACCCAAGGCCAAGAGACCAUGGCCACGUUAGCCCGGCUGCAAGCUAGGUCGUCGACUGUAGGAAAUCAGUACUACUUUAGGAACAGUGUUGUAGAUCCAUUUAGAAAAAAGGAGAAUGAUGCAGCAGUUAAAAUCCAAAGCUGGUUUCGAGGAUGUCAAGUUCGGGCAUAUAUCAGGCAUUUAAACAGGAUUGUAACAAUUAUUCAAAAAUGGUGGAGAAGUUUCUUAGGCAGAAAGCAAUAUCAACUAACUGUGCAGGUAGCAUAUUAUACUAUGAUGAUGAAUCUCUACAAUGCAAUGGCUGUCAGGAUUCAGAGACGAUGGCGAGGCUAUAGGGUUCGGAAGUACCUCUUUAAUUAUUAUUAUUUGAAAGAGUACCUGAAAGUCGUUUCAGAGACCAAUGAUGCAAUUAGGAAGGCACUGGAGGAGUUUGCAGAAAUGAAAGAAAGAGAAGAGAAGAAGGCUAACCUCGAAAGGGAAGAGAAGAAAAGAGAUUACCAAGCCCGAAAGAUGCAUUACCUCCUCAGCACAAAGCAGAUUCCAGGAAUAUACAAUUCACCCUUCAGAAAAGAGCCUGAUCCAUGGGAGCUGCAAUUACAAAAGGCAAAGCCUUUAACACACCGAAGACCUAAAGUUAAGCAGAAGGACUCCACCAGCCUUACUGAUUGGCUAGCUUGUACAAGCACCCGUUCUUUUCCUCGGUCUGAAAUUCUACCACCUAUUAAUAGAAAGCAAUGUCAGGGGCCCUUCCGAGAUAUCACCGAAGUAUUAGAACAACGCUACAGGCCUUUGGAGCCAACGUUGCGGGUGGCAGAACCAAUCGAUGAGUUAAAGUUGGCCAGAGAGGAGCUCAGAAGAGAGGAAUGGCUGCAAAAUGUAAAUGACAAUAUGUUUACAUUUUCAACUGCCAUCUUUGUAUCUCCACCAGAUGUCCUAAACGCAGUAUAUAACGCACUUUCCUGCAUCUUUUCUUGAGUGUGAAUUGCAUCACCAACUAUCUGCACAAGCUAGAGACUUGUUUUUGCCAUUUUCUUCAUACCAUAAAAAUGAAAAGUACAUCCCAUCAAUGCAUUUAUCAAGCAAGUAUGGUCCUGUUUCUUACAAAGAACAAUUCCGAAGUGAAAAUCCUAAGAAAUGGAUCUGUAACAAGGAUUUCCAGACUGUAUUACCAUCAUUUGAGCUCUUCUCAAAGUAUGGAAAAUUAUAUUCAAAAGCUGGACAGAUUGUAUAAAGAAAACAGAAGAUGAAAUGUAAAACUGAGAUUAAGGUGUGAAGUGAGUGUGAAUAGAAGACCCCACACUGCCUGGAGUCCUGGAUUCUUCCACGUCUGAUGAGUGACCUUGAAUCUCUUAAUCUCUCUAGUUUUCUCUCUCUUAGGUGUCAGAAGAAGAAACUGAAGCCAUCUGCAUUUUAAAACUUAACAGUUCUGAAAGGAAAACACAGAUGCAGAUCCUGUAGGAAAUAUACUUGCUAUGAUUCUAUAAACUAUAAAAUUUUGUAGCUCUA
Molecule: RNA transcript, 1552 nt
Organism: Pan troglodytes (chimpanzee)
Lineage: Eukaryota; Metazoa; Chordata; Mammalia; Primates; Hominidae
Gene: SPATA17
Gene name: spermatogenesis associated 17
Exons: 12
Source: RefSeq, a predicted model, not a curated record